GCUUUCGUGGUGUAGUGGUCAGCACACUCGGCUCGUAUUCGAGACGGGCUUGGUUCGAGUCCCGGCGAGGACA
Molecule: transfer RNA, 73 nt
Filed under: Stegodyphus mimosarum
Lineage: Eukaryota; Metazoa; Arthropoda; Arachnida; Araneae; Eresidae
Rfam family: tRNA
About the family: Transfer RNA (tRNA) molecules are approximately 80 nucleotides in length. Their secondary structure includes four short double-helical elements and three loops (D, anti-codon, and T loops). Further hydrogen bonds mediate the characteristic L-shaped molecular structure. tRNAs have two regions of fundamental functional importance: the anti-codon, which is responsible for specific mRNA codon recognition, and the 3' end, to which the tRNAs corresponding amino acid is attached (by aminoacyl-tRNA synthetases). tRNAs cope with the degeneracy of the genetic code in two manners: having more than one tRNA (with a specific anti-codon) for a particular amino acid; and 'wobble' base-pairing, i.e. permitting non-standard base-pairing at the 3rd anti-codon position.
Source: Rfam by way of RNAcentral